RNAcentral lists this ribosomal RNA (250 nucleotides) under uncultured bacterium. Its description in RNAcentral is "partial 16S ribosomal RNA". It matches the Rfam family "Bacterial small subunit ribosomal RNA", at positions 524 to 773 of the family's 1533-position model. The record is from RNAcentral.
UACGUAGGUUGCAAGCGUUGUCCGGAAUUACUGGGCGUAAAGCGCGCGCAGGCGGUCUUGAAAGUCCACGGUGAAAGCUCCCGGCCCAACUGGGAGAGGCCCGUGGAAACUUCGAGACUUGAAGGCGGGAGAGGCAAAUGGAAUUUCCGGUGUAGCGGUAAAAUGCGUAGAUACCGGAAGGAACACCAGUGGCGAAGGCGAUUUGCUGGCCCGCACUUGACGCUCAGGCGCGAAAGCUAGGGUAGCGACC